Molecule: ribosomal RNA, 497 nt
Filed under: uncultured bacterium
Lineage: Bacteria
Description: partial 16S ribosomal RNA
Rfam family: Bacterial small subunit ribosomal RNA
Source: RNAcentral
GAUGAACGCUGGCGGCGUGCCUAAUACAUGCAAGUCGAGCGAACAGACGAGGAGCUUGCUCCUCUGACGUUAGCGGCGGACGGGUGAGUAACACGUGGAUAACCUACCUAUAAGACUGGGAUAACUUCGGGAAACCGGAGCUAAUACCGGAUAAUAUAUUGAACCGCAUGGUUCAAUAGUGAAAGACGGUUUUGCUGUCACUUAUAGAUGGAUCCGCGCCGCAUUAGCUAGUUGGUAAGGUAACGGCUUACCAAGGCGACGAUGCGUAGCCGACCUGAGAGGAUGAUCGGCCACACUGGAACUGAGACACGGUCCAAACUCCUACGGGAGGCAGCAGUAGGGAAUCUUCCGCAAUGGGCGAAAGCCUGACGGAGCAACGCCGCGUGAGUGAUGAAGGUCUUCGGAUCGUAAAACUCUGUUAUUAGGGAAGAACAAAUGUGUAAGUAACUAUGCACGUCUUGACGGUACCUAAUCAGAAAGCCACGGCUAACUACGUG